GAAAGCAAAAGGGAUGCCGGUGGUGGCAGAUGCUUCCUCCUGGCCAAAUCCCAAAUCCCACCCUCAGCACCCACACCCUGAGCAGUGGGCAGGAGAGGCCUGAAAACGUCUGUACAAAUGGCUUCCGAGAAGCCCUGGAGAUAAAGGAGCCAGAGGCAGCCACACAUGGUUCCCAGAAGCUGAAUGCUGCGCAGACGACAGGGUAAGUAUGCACUGCACCCUGCUUCACCCACACCUCAAGCCGUCCCCUUCUGCUGGGGUCUGGCUACUGCACUCGUGGUCCCCUUGGUAGCUUCACGAUUUAUGUCUCUAUGCGGCUUCCGUUCCCCUUCCCUCUGCCAAGCCAGUACCACCAUCCUUCACCGCCCAGUGCAGAGCUUCUUUCUCCAGUGAGUUUUCUCUGACCACUCCUGUCCUCACCAGCCAUCUUUGUUUUUAAUUCUCAUGCACCUCUUUGUGUAUGUCUUACACAGUUUGGGCAUUCAUUAUAUGCUAUUUUAAAUUGCAUGCUCUUGUUUCAUAUGUAAGUUCCAAUCUGCAUGGUAACAAGGACAAUACCCUAUGCUCUUGCAUGUUCCAUCAGACCUAGCGCAGGACUACAUCCAUAGUAUAGGUUUAAAGAGUAUUUGAUGGUUGAUUAUUGACAGUGAGAUUUCAUAUGCAUUUAUGCAUUUCUGUGAUACUUUUUAUCACAGAAACUAUGGUAUGUUAUAGAUAUGUAGAUAGAUGAGAAAGAGACAAAGAGAAUUUCCAUUUCCAUAGAUAGGAAUUUAGUGCAAAACUGAGUUGUUU
Molecule: long non-coding RNA, 792 nt
Filed under: Homo sapiens (human)
Lineage: Eukaryota; Metazoa; Chordata; Mammalia; Primates; Hominidae
Description: non-protein coding lnc-ASPH-5:7
Source: RNAcentral